AUUGAACGCUGGCGGCAUGCCUUACACAUGCAAGUCGAACGGCAGCACGGGUGCUUGCACCUGGUGGCGAGUGGCGAACGGGUGAGUAAUACAUCGGAACGUACCUUAUCGUGGGGGAUAACGCAGCGAAAGCUGUGCUAAUACCGCAUACGCCCUGAGGGGGAAAGCGGGGGAUCGCAAGACCUCGCGCGAUUAGAGCGGCCGAUGCCUGAUUAGCUUGUUGGUGGGGUAAAAGCCCACCAAGGCGACGAUCAGUAGCUGGUCUGAGAGGAAGAUCAGCCACACUGGGACUGAGAAAAGGCCCAGACUCCUACGGGAGGCAGCAGUGGGGAAUUUUGGACAAUGGGGGCAACCCUGAUCCAGCAAUGCCGCGUGAGUGAAGAAGGCCUUCGGGUUGUAAAGCUCUUUUGUCAGGGAAGAAACACCGGCUCUAACACAGUCCGGGAAUGACGGUACCUGAAGAAUAAGCACCGGCUAACUACGUGCCAGCCGCCGCAGUAA
Molecule: ribosomal RNA, 501 nt
Filed under: uncultured bacterium
Lineage: Bacteria
Description: partial 16S ribosomal RNA
Rfam family: Bacterial small subunit ribosomal RNA
Source: RNAcentral